GAUGAACGCUGGCGGCGUGCCUAAUACAUGCAAGUCGAGCGAACAGACGAGGAGCCUGCUCCUCUGACGUUAGCGGCGGACGGGUGAGUAACACGUGGAUAACCUACCUAUAAGACUGGGAUAACUUCGGGAAACCGGAGCUAAUACCGGAUAAUAUAUUGAACCGCAUGGUUCACUAGUGAAAGACGGUUUUGCUGUCACUUAUAGAUGGAUCCGCGCCGCAUUAGCUAGUUGGUAAGGUAACGGCUUACCAAGGCAACGAUGCGUAGCCGACCUGAGAGGGUGAUCCGCCACACUGGAACUGAGACACGGUCCAGACUCCUACGGGAGGCAGCAGUAGGGAAUCUUCCGGAAUGGGCGAAAGCUUGACGGAGCAACGCCGCGUGAGUGAUGAAGGUCUUCGGAUCGUAAAACUCUGUUAUUAGGGAAGAACAAAUGUGUAAGUAACUAUGCACGUCUUGACGGUACCUAAUCAGAAAGCCACGGCUAACUACGUG
This 497-nucleotide ribosomal RNA is filed under the name uncultured bacterium. RNAcentral's name for it is "partial 16S ribosomal RNA". It matches the Rfam family "Bacterial small subunit ribosomal RNA", at positions 28 to 507 of the family's 1533-position model. The record is from RNAcentral.